AGCAGCCGCGGUAAUUCCAGCUCCAAUAGCGUAUAUUAAAGUUGUUGCAGUUAAAAAGCUCGUAGUUGAAUUUCGGAAUCUGUCCAUCGGUCGGGCUUCACUGUCCGUACUGGUGUGGUGGGUUCUUACCUUCUGAAUAACCAGCAUGCCAUUCACUUGGUGCGUUGGGGAAGCAGGACUAUUACCUUGAAAAAAUUAGAGUGCUCAAAGCAGGCUAGUGCCUGAAUACAUUAGCAUGGAAUAAUAAAAUAGGACGGCAUGGUUCUAUUUUGUUGGUUUCUAGGAUCACCGUAAUGAUUAAUAGGGAUAGUUGGGGGCAUUAGUAUUCAAUUGUCAGAGGUGAAAUUCUUGGAUUUAUUGAAGACUAACUUCUGCGAAAGCAUUUGCCAAGGAUGUUUUCAUUAAUCAAGAACGAAAGUUAGGGGAUCGAAGACGAUCAGAUACCGUCGUAGUCUUAACCAUAAACUAUGCCGACUAGGGAUCGGACGAUGUUAAUUUUUAAUGACUCGUUCGCGUACCG
Molecule: ribosomal RNA, 520 nt
Filed under: uncultured Glomeromycotina
Lineage: Eukaryota; Fungi; Glomeromycota
Description: SSU rRNA
Rfam family: Eukaryotic small subunit ribosomal RNA
Source: RNAcentral